GGUGCAUCCUGUUACCAGGCAGGAAAGCGCAGAUCCCAGAGGCCUCCUCCUCGCGAGACCACGCUCAGGAGGACGGGGCUGUCUGUGAGCCAAGCAAGGAAAAUCGCUGUCAGGAAGUACCUGUUUUCUAGAUGCAAGGCUUCCCAGAAGAGUGUCCUAUCAUCUUGGAGUUCCAUGGUUGCAGGGCUGAUUGUCCAGGAAUGCCAUGAGAAAUGCUCCUUGGGGGCAGGAAGAGAAAAUGUACCAUUUCCUUCAGCGAGGGCACAGCAAGGAUCCAAAAAGGAAGAAACCACUUCCCCCUACUUACACACAGAAAGCUAAUUUUUUUCCUGGACUCGCAAAAAUACAUUGAAUAUUUUAACUGAUCAGGGUUCCCACAGCUGGUCACGCGAUAUCUGCUCCAUCAUGAAGACCUAGAGAUCUCGGAGACCUGUCAGACCUAACAUUUUAAGUCCAGGAGCCUCCAAGAAGGCAGACGGAUAGCACAAGGUUAUAGGAGGCAGACAGGAGAUCACAUGAAGAUGUACAAUGGUGUUCAGCACUCGCUGGGUGGAAGCAGAGAGGAAAACCGUUAACAGGAAAAUGUAAUGCCUGGAGGGAGUCUAACCAGACCCAAGAACCCCAGGACAUCCAGCUAGGAGGGAGUCCAGAGCCUACUGCAGCCCCUUCUGUCGCGGGAAGUGACCCCAAAGGAAGGGUGCUGGCCCACAAAUCUACAGCCGGCUGGUCACAAGGUCGAUUCUGGAACCCUAGAGUAGGUACUGGGACACGGACGUACUUUUGGAGUCAAUGUGGUUAUUUAAACCAAUCCCACCUGGGAUAAAAUGCAGACAGUUGAAACCAGUCGGGGGAGGCCAACCCCUAGAGAUCUGAUCACUGGCCAGUCCUUCAAUGGUAAUGGGGCCUCCACAGCUCACAGCAGGCUCUGCACAAACAGGACCCGGGAGAGACAGCUCUGCUGUCCAGGCAUCAGGGAAACAAUUGUUGGGAACUUAAAACAGCCUCAAACCUUAGGCAUUUGGAAAAAAAAAAAAAAAAGGUUGAGGCGUGAAGGAGGGAAUACCCGAAGGAGUCAAGGGUCCUGUCAAACAGGUUCCCGAGGCCUGGCUUGCUCUUCCCUGAUACCGAGUCUCUCCCACCUUUCCCUGCAGCCUGAAUCGAAUGCUCAAGAGGAGAUAAUGUAUACAGACACCGACAUAAGUAGAAACAGCAAGAUAACUGCCCGUGACUUCUUGUACUAAUUUCCUGCUUGGUCUGUCUGGGCUUGAAGCCUCCAGUGCCCAGCACAGCUGUCAGGCAAUCGCCUUGAAGCCACAGGCGGUCUCAAGGCUGC
Ailuropoda melanoleuca (giant panda) is the source of this 1333-nucleotide long non-coding RNA. RefSeq lists it as uncharacterized. NCBI's taxonomy places the organism in Eukaryota, Metazoa, Chordata, Mammalia, Carnivora, Ursidae. The record is from RefSeq and is a predicted model, not a curated record. The transcript has 5 exons.